GCCUACGGGGCGCAGCAGUAGGGAAUCUUCCGCAAUGGGCGAAAGCCUGAUGGAGCAACGCCGCGUGGGUGAAGAAGGUCUUCGGAUCGUAAAACCCUGUUGUUAGAGAAGAAAGUGCGUGAGAGUAACUGUUCACGUUUCGACGGUAUCUAACCAGAAAGCCACGGCUAACUACGUGCCAGCAGCCGCGGUAAUACGUAGGUGGCAAGCGUUAUCCGGAUUUAUUGGGCGUAAAGAGAACGCAGGCGGUCUUUUAAGUCUGAUGUGAAAGCCUUCGGCUUAACCGGAGUAGUGCAUUGGAAACU
This 305-nucleotide ribosomal RNA is filed under the name uncultured bacterium. RNAcentral's name for it is "bacterial SSU rRNA". It matches the Rfam family "Bacterial small subunit ribosomal RNA", at positions 337 to 634 of the family's 1533-position model. The record is from RNAcentral.